AUAUCAAUAAGCGGAGGAAAAGAAACCAACAGGGAUUGCCCUAGUAACGGCGAGUGAAGCGGCAAGAGCUCAAAUUUGAAAUCUGGCUUCGGCCCGAGUUGUAAUUUGUAGAGGAUGUUUCGGGCACCGCCCCGGCGUAAGUCCCUUGGAACAGGGCGUCAUAGAGGGUGAGAAUCCCGUCUGGCGUCGUGGUAGGGCCCAUGUGAAACUCCUUCGACGAGUCGAGUUGUUUGGGAAUGCAGCUCAAAAUGGGUGGUAAAUUUCAUCUAAAGCUAAAUAUUGGCCAGAGACCGAUAGCGCACAAGUAGAGUGAUCGAAAGAUGAAAAGCACUUUGAAAAGAGAGUUAAACAGUAUGUGAAAUUGUUGAAAGGGAAGCGCUUACAACCAGACUUGAGCCCGUCGGUUCCCCCUCGCUUCUGCGUGGGCUACUCCGGCGGGUCCAGGCCAACAUCGGUUCGGGUGGCUGGUCAAAGGCCCUGGGAAUGUAUCUCGCCUCCGGGCUUGACUUAUAGCCCAGGGUGUCAUGCGGCCUACCCGGACCGAGGAACGCGCUUCGGCUCGGAUGUUGGCGUAAUGGUUGUCAGCGGCCCGUCUUGAAACACGGACCAAGGAGUCGAAGAGCUAUGCGAGUGUUUGGGUGUCAAACCCGUACGCGUAAUGAAAGUGAACGGAGGUAGGAAGCUUCGGCUGCACUAUCGACCGAUCCUGAUGUUCUCGGAUGGAUUUGAGUAAGAGCAUAACUCUCCGGACCCGAAAGAUGGUGAACUAUGCCUGAAUAGGGUGAAGCCAGAGGAAACUCUGGUGGAGGCUCGCAGCGGUUCUGACGUGCAAAUCGAUCGUCAAAUUUGGGUAUAGGGGCGAAAGACUAAUCGAACCAUCUGGUAGCUGGUUCCUGCCGAAGUUUCCCUCAGGAUAGCAGUAACGUUUUCAGUUUUAUGAGGUAAAGCGAAUGAUUAGAGGCCUUGGGGUUGAAACAACCUUAACCUAUUCUCAAACUUUAAAUAUGUAAGAAGUCCUUGUUACUUAGUUGAACGUGGACAUUUGAAUGUAUCGUUACUAGUGGGCCAUUUUUGGUAAGCAGAACUGGCGAUGCGGGAUGAACCGAACGUGAGGUUAAGGUGCCGGACUGCACGCUCAUCAGACACCACAAAAGGUGUCAAUGCAUCUAGACAGCCGGACGGUGGCCAUGGAAGUCGGAAUCCGCUUAGGAGUGUGUAACAACUCACCGGCCGAAUGCAUUGGCCCUGAAAAUGGAUGGCGCUUAAGCGUGCGACCUAUACCUCGCCGUCAGGGUUGACAUGAUGCCCUGACGAGUAGGCAGGCGUGGAGGUUUGUGACGAAGC
RNAcentral lists this ribosomal RNA (1344 nucleotides) under Chaetothyriales sp. TRN508. RNAcentral describes it as "LSU rRNA". It matches the Rfam family "Eukaryotic large subunit ribosomal RNA", at positions 40 to 1409 of the family's 3401-position model. Lineage: Eukaryota; Fungi; Ascomycota; Eurotiomycetes; Chaetothyriales. The record is from RNAcentral.